GUCGAGCGACUGAUUAGAAGCUUGCUUCUAUGACGUUAGCGGCGGACGGGUGAGUAACACGUGGGCAACCUGCCUGUAAGACUGGGAUAACUCCGGGAAACCGGAGCUAAUACCGGAUAACAUUUUCUCUUGCAUAAAAGAAAAUUGAAAGAUGGUUUCGGCUAUCACUUACAGAUGGGCCCGCGGUGCAUUAGCUAGUUGGUGAGGUAACGGCUCACCAAGGCAACGAUGCAUAGCCGACCUGAGAGGGUGAUCGGCCACACUGGGACUGAGACACGGCCCAGACUCCUACGGGAGGCAGCAGUAGGGAAUCUUCCGCAAUGGACGAAAGUCUGACGGAGCAACGCCGCGUGAGUGAUGAAGGCUUUCGGGUCGUAAAACUCUGUUGUUAGGGAAGAACAAGUACAAGAGUAACUGCUUGUACCUUGACGGUACCUAACCAGAAAGCCACGGCUAACUACGUGCCAGCAGCCGCGGUAAUACGUAGGUGGCAAGCGUUAUCCGGAAUUAUUGGGCGUAAAGCGCGCGCAGGCGGUUUCUUAAGUCUGAUGUGAAAGCCCACGGCUCAACCGUGGAGGGUCAUUGGAAACUGGGGAACUUGAGUGCAGAAGAGAAAAGCGGAAUUUCACGUGUAGCGGUGAAAUGCGUAGAGAUGUGGAGGAACACCAGUGGCGAAGGCGGCUUUUUGGUCUGUAACUGACGCUGAGGCGCGAAAGCGUGGGGGAGCAAACAGGAUUAGAUACCCUGGUAGUCCACGCCGUAAACGAUGAGUGCUAAGUGUUAGAGGGUUUCCGCCCUUUUAGUGCUGCAGCUAACGCAUUAAGCACUCCGCCUGGGGGAGUACGGUCGCAAGACUGAAACUCAAAGGAAUUGACGGGGGCCCGCACACGCGGUGGAGCAUGUGGUUUAAUUUGAAGCAACGCGAAGAACCUUACCAGGUCUUGACAUCCUCUGACAACUCUAGAGAUAGAGCGUUCCCCUUCGGGGGACAGAGUGACAGGUGGUGCAUGGUUGUCGUCAGCUCGUGUCGUGAGAUGUUGGGUUAAGUCCCGCAACGAGCGCAACCCUUGAUUUUAGUUGCCAGCAUUUAGUUGGGCACUCUAAGGUGACUGCCGGUGACAAACCGGAGGAAGGUGGGGAGGACGUCAAAUCAUCAUGCCCCUUAUGACCUGGGGUACACACGUGCUACAAUGGAUGGUACAAAGGGGUGCAAGACCGCGAGGUCAAGCCAAUCCCAUAAAACCAUUUUCAGUUCGGAUUGUAGGGUGCAACUCGCCUACAUGAAGCUGGAAUCGCUAGUAAUCGCGGAUCAGCACGCCGCGGUGAAUACGUUCCCGGGCCUUGUACACACCGCCCGUCACACCACGAGAGUUUGUAACACCCGAAGUCGGUGGGGUAACCUUUAUGGAGCCAGCCG
Molecule: ribosomal RNA, 1417 nt
Filed under: Priestia flexa
Lineage: Bacteria; Bacillati; Bacillota; Bacilli; Caryophanales; Bacillaceae
Description: bacterial SSU rRNA
Rfam family: Bacterial small subunit ribosomal RNA
Source: RNAcentral